UUUGAUUGUGGUCUAUUCAUUGAAACUAUUUCUGUGUUGUUAAGUUUGUUCAUUAUUCAUGGUUGAUAAUACGAAUACUAAUACCUCCCCCACAGACUCUACUAGUCCCCUCCUAAUUUACUCCUCCGACGUUCCUGGUAUGUCUCUUGUGUCCAUCCCCUUUUCAGGCAGUGGUUAUGGAGGGUGGAGGAGGAAGAUGAUUGUUUCCUUAUCUGCUAAAAACAAAAUCGGAUUUGUUGAUGACUCAUGUCCUCGACCAACCACUAGUGUGGCUGAACAGAGACUGUGGGAUAGAUGUAAUAACAUGGUCAUUUCCUGGUUGACUGCUUCCCUAUCUCCUCAGAUU
Molecule: long non-coding RNA, 346 nt
Filed under: Nicotiana benthamiana
Lineage: Eukaryota; Viridiplantae; Streptophyta; Magnoliopsida; Solanales; Solanaceae
Description: long non-coding RNA (NBEN_LNC001972)
Source: RNAcentral